This 430-nucleotide ribosomal RNA is filed under the name uncultured bacterium. RNAcentral describes it as "bacterial SSU rRNA". It matches the Rfam family "Bacterial small subunit ribosomal RNA", at positions 29 to 464 of the family's 1533-position model. The record is from RNAcentral.
AUUGAACGCUGGCGGCAUGCUUUACACAUGCAAGUCGAACGGUAACAGGUUAAGCUGACGAGUGGCGAACGGGUGAGUAAUGCAUCGGAACGUGCCCGGUCGUGGGGGAUAACGCAGCGAAAGCUGCGCUAAUACCGCAUACGAUCUGAGGAUGAAAGCGGGGGACCGUAAGGCCUCGCGCGAUCGGAGCGGCCGAUGUCAGAUUAGGUAGUUGGUGGGGUAAAGGCUCACCAAGCCGACGAUCUGUAGCUGGUCUGAGAGGACGACCAGCCACACUGGGACUGAGACACGGCCCAGACUCCUACGGGAGGCAGCAGUGGGGAAUUUUGGACAAUGGGCGCAAGCCUGAUCCAGCAAUGCCGCGUGCAGGAAGAAGGCCUUCGGUUGUAAAGGCUCUUUCGGCCGGGAAGGAAAUACGCAUGGGUUAAUA